Long non-coding RNA from Xenopus tropicalis (tropical clawed frog), 1677 nucleotides. RefSeq lists it as uncharacterized. The transcript is spliced from 3 exons. The record is from RefSeq and is a predicted model, not a curated record. Lineage: Eukaryota; Metazoa; Chordata; Amphibia; Anura; Pipidae.
CCUUGUGUGGGCUUUACAUGGUGAUAAUGGGAUGAUUUACCCUUACAGUGUCUUCCAUGAGAAGGAAAUCCUUCAGAGGGUAAGCUCUGCUGAACACCCGUUCCUGGUGUCAUUGCAUGGAACCUUCCAGACGGCAUCUCACCUGUUUUAUGUGAUGGAAUAUCUCCCUGGAGGUGACAUGUUUGAAUUUAUACGAUCUGUGGAACUAGAAGAGCCUGAUGUCAUGUAAGUAGAAUGGGACUGGGGGGAGGUUAUCAAGGGGGUACUUUCAGUGUAGCAUCACCACAGUAUAUAUUUUUAAAAUGUAAUGUAAUACAAGCAAGGUAUACCUAUGAUACAGGUAACUGCUUUUCUUCUCACUAUGAUUACCUUAAUUCUCACACAUAGUUUAUAUAUCAAUAAAAAAAUAUUAAAGUAACUGAAUUUUAUUUUUUCUCUAUUCAGGUUUUACACCGCAUGCAUUGUUCUUGGCCUGGAGGCAUUACAUCAGCUUGGCAUUGUCCAUAGGUAAGCAUUAAUAACACUAAAAUCAUCUAUAUUUCCAGAAGGAGCUACUGAGAACUACUACUAAGAACACUUCUAAUCUAUCUUGUAGCACUGGAAUAAUUUGCUUGAUGUUAUUAUAAGGAUUAUAUAUGUAUACCUACUAAACUAUUGACUUGGUUUUAAUUCAGAGAUCUAAAGCUUGAGAAUUUGCUGUUGGACCGGGAUGGCUACCUUAAGAUCGUAGACUUCGGCCUCAGCAAAGACAGUAAGUGCUGCUUAUAAUUCUGGAGCAUACAAGGGAUUAGAUUAAAUUAUUAGGUAUUGUUAUAUUUAGAUAAAACAGAUCUGAGUGGGUGUGUAGUUAGGAAGCAAGCAGUUAAGGAAAGUCCCUCAUUACUUUACAUUAGGGCCCCAGAUCUGCAGUUUCCUCACAGUGUUUCUUGUGUUUAAGGAUUUGGAUACAGCGACCGCACAAAGACCAUAUGCGGUACAAAAACAUACAUGGCCCCGGAAAUAUAUCUAAAACUUGGAUACGGCAUGGCCGCUGACUGGUGGGCCCUAGGAAUCACCGUUUAUAUUAUGCUCCUGUAUGAGGUAAGCACAAUUCCUAUAUUAUCAACUUACAUUGGGGAAUAAUUGCCAUUGGUGUUUUAUAAUGUGACUAAACAUAUUGAGGAAUAUAUGAUUAAUAUAUAAGUAUAAUACAUAUUAUAAUCUCCAUAUUUACAAGAAUAACUUUCUAUUCUCUCAGAAAUAAUAUAGCAUGAAUAUUACUGUGUUUGGCUGCCCUUUAUCAUUUAAAUAAGAAAUACCCCCAUGGUGCUGUACUAAGAGACGGUAUCUGUAUGACCAGCUGCACAUGAGAGAUGUUGUUCCGUACAGAGUCUGCAUUAAGUUCAUAUUGCAACAAAUCUCUUAGGAAGGUUGUUUCGCUAAAAAAAUAAUUAUUCACUUUUUCAGUUACCAUUCAACCAUGAAGAUCCAGUCGAGCAAAUGAUGAGCAUCCUUUAUGAUGACAUCAGCUUACCAGAAGACCUUUCAGAGGAUGCCUCAACACUAAUAAAAGAACUGUUAGAAAAAGAUCCAGAAUUUCGCCUCGGUUCGGGUGACGCCGGGGCUGAAAUGGUUAAAGAGCACCCCUUCUUCAAAGAUAUGGACUGGGACCAUCUGUUGCAGAGACGAAUAACGGCU